Transfer RNA from Aspergillus carbonarius ITEM 5010, 80 nucleotides. It matches the Rfam family "tRNA". From Rfam's summary of the family: Transfer RNA (tRNA) molecules are approximately 80 nucleotides in length. Their secondary structure includes four short double-helical elements and three loops (D, anti-codon, and T loops). The record is from Rfam. NCBI's taxonomy places the organism in Eukaryota, Fungi, Ascomycota, Eurotiomycetes, Eurotiales, Aspergillaceae.
CCCGGACUAGCUCAAUUGGCAGAGCGCACGAUUGGAUUUGUCUCACCGUGAGGUCGCAAGUUCGAUUCUUGCGUCUGGGC